This 2111-nucleotide ribosomal RNA is filed under the name Salmonella enterica subsp. enterica serovar Thompson. RNAcentral's name for it is "partial 23S ribosomal RNA". It matches the Rfam family "Bacterial large subunit ribosomal RNA", at positions 711 to 2802 of the family's 2925-position model. RNAcentral also lists the same sequence under 1 other name. Lineage: Bacteria; Pseudomonadati; Pseudomonadota; Gammaproteobacteria; Enterobacterales; Enterobacteriaceae. The record is from RNAcentral.
AGACCCGAAACCCGGUGAUCUAGCCAUGGGCAGGUUGAAGGUUGGGUAACACUAACUGGAGGACCGAACCGACUAAUGUUGAAAAAUUAGCGGAUGACCUGUGGCUGGGGGUGAAAGGCCAAUCAAACCGGGAGAUAGCUGGUUCUCCCCGAAAGCUAUUUAGGUAGCGCCUCGUGAAUUCAUCUCCGGGGGUAGAGCACUGUUUCGGCUAGGGGGCCAUCCCGGCUUACCAACCCGAUGCAAACUGCGAAUACCGGAGAAUGUUAUCACGGGAGACACACGGCGGGUGCUAACGUCCGUCGUGAAGAGGGAAACAACCCAGACCGCCAGCUAAGGUCCCAAAGUCAUGGUUAAGUGGGAAACGAUGUGGGAAGGCCCAGACAGCCAGGAUGUUGGCUUAGAAGCAGCCAUCAUUUAAAGAAAGCGUAAUAGCUCACUGGUCGAGUCGGCCUGCGCGGAAGAUGUAACGGGGCUAAACCAUGCACCGAAGCUGCGGCAGCGACACUCAGGUGUUGUUGGGUAGGGGAGCGUUCUGUAAGCCUGUGAAGGUGUGUCGUGAGGCAUGCUGGAGGUAUCAGAAGUGCGAAUGCUGACAUAAGUAACGAUAAAGCGGGUGAAAAGCCCGCUCGCCGGAAGACCAAGGGUUCCUGUCCAACGUUAAUCGGGGCAGGGUGAGUCGACCCCUAAGGCGAGGCCGAAAGGCGUAGUCGAUGGGAAACGGGUUAAUAUUCCCGUACUUGGUGUUACUGCGAAGGGGGGACGGAGAAGGCUAUGUUGGCCGGGCGACGGUUGUCCCGGUUUAAGCGUGUAGGUGUGUGUUCCAGGUAAAUCCGGUUCACUUUAACACUGAGGCGUGAUGACGAGGCACUACGGUGCUGAAGCAACAAAUGCCCUGCUUCCAGGAAAAGCCUCUAAGCAUCAGGUAACAUCAAAUCGUACCCCAAACCGACACAGGUGGUCAGGUAGAGAAUACCAAGGCGCUUGAGAGAACUCGGGUGAAGGAACUAGGCAAAAUGGUGCCGUAACUUCGGGAGAAGGCACGCUGACACGUAGGUGAAGUGAUUUACUCAUGGAGCUGAAGUCAGUCGAAGAUACCAGCUGGCUGCAACUGUUUAUUAAAAACACAGCACUGUGCAAACACGAAAGUGGACGUAUACGGUGUGACGCCUGCCCGGUGCCGGAAGGUUAAUUGAUGGGGUCAGCGCAAGCGAAGCUCCUGAUCGAAGCCCCGGUAAACGGCGGCCGUAACUAUAACGGUCCUAAGGUAGCGAAAUUCCUUGUCGGGUAAGUUCCGACCUGCACGAAUGGCGUAAUGAUGGCCAGGCUGUCUCCACCCGAGACUCAGUGAAAUUGAACUCGCUGUGAAGAUGCAGUGUACCCGCGGCAAGACGGAAAGACCCCGUGAACCUUUACUAUAGCUUGACACUGAACAUUGAGCCUUGAUGUGUAGGAUAGGUGGGAGGCUUUGAAGCGUGGACGCCAGUCUGCGUGGAGCCGACCUUGAAAUACCACCCUUUAAUGUUUGAUGUUCUAACGUGGACCCGUGAUCCGGGUUGCGGACAGUGUCUGGUGGGUAGUUUGACUGGGGCGGUCUCCUCCUAAAGAGUAACGGAGGAGCACGAAGGUUGGCUAAUCCUGGUCGGACAUCAGGAGGUUAGUGCAAUGGCAUAAGCCAGCUUGACUGCGAGCGUGACGGCGCGAGCAGGUGCGAAAGCAGGUCAUAGUGAUCCGGUGGUUCUGAAUGGAAGGGCCAUCGCUCAACGGAUAAAAGGUACUCCGGGGAUAACAGGCUGAUACCGCCCAAGAGUUCAUAUCGACGGCGGUGUUUGGCACCUCGAUGUCGGCUCAUCACAUCCUGGGGCUGAAGUAGGUCCCAAGGGUAUGGCUGUUCGCCAUUUAAAGUGGUACGCGAGCUGGGUUUAGAACGUCGUGAGACAGUUCGGUCCCUAUCUGCCGUGGGCGCUGGAGAACUGAGGGGGGCUGCUCCUAGUACGAGAGGACCGGAGUGGACGCAUCACUGGUGUUCGGGUUGUCAUGCCAAUGGCACUGCCCGGUAGCUAAAUGCGGAAGAGAUAAGUGCUGAAAGCAUCUAAGCACGAAACUUGCCCCGA